Hylaeus anthracinus is the source of this 1999-nucleotide long non-coding RNA. RefSeq lists it as uncharacterized. The record is from RefSeq and is a predicted model, not a curated record. Lineage: Eukaryota; Metazoa; Arthropoda; Insecta; Hymenoptera; Colletidae. The transcript has 4 exons.
CCAUUCUUCGAUGAUUUGUUUACGAAUUUCAUAAAGUGCUAAUUACGUUUUCAACGAUGUAGAAGUAAACAAGUGUUUUUCGUGAACUAUAUUUUUAUUUUUUCACUCAAAGAACUGCUUGAUUCGUCAGUUUUUUUAACGAGUAGCAGACGUAUAAAUUACAGUAAAUAAUAACAACUUGAUUCGCCGUCACAUGUCGGAAUCAAAUGGUUUGUGACACCGACCAUUCAUUUCGCACAACACUCUGCACAUAACCUGAAAGUUGUGUUUAUAGUAUGAAGAUGCAGCGUCACCAACUUCGUUAGAUUCGGUGCAGAGUGUAGUGGCUAUUCUGAUUCGAGGUAUGUGUUUAGAAGAUUGGUCAGCCUGAUAGAUUUUAAAUUCUUCGUCAGAAGUUCAGAAGUGCCAAGUAAUGAAUGUGUCUGAGACGAAUAGAAUAGAUAUUCCAAAGUAUUUCAGAAAUAAUUAAAGCGCCGAGGCGAUCUCGAUGCGUCUUGCUCUGGUCAGGUACUUGUUAAAGUGGAACUCUUUCUCGAGUUCCGUGAGCUGCUUGUUCGUGAAGUUCGUACGACCAGUGUUGUUGAAGCCACCUGCGAUACCGGCCAAUGGACCGCCGGUCAGGCAGUUUACAGGACCGUUCGUGGAACUGGAGUACGUGGAUACGCUGGCUCCCCUGAUCGUGCUGCCGCCGAACUCGCCCACGCUUGAAUUCGUCUUUCCUGCUGCAACAGAUUUCAAGUCUUCCUUUACUGAUAUCAGUCCUCAAGGAAGUGGAGUUCAGAGUCGAGUCAAAAUUUGUGAACUGUCUCGCCAACUCCUGCCCAACGGACUCCAAGCAUGCUAUCGUGGCGUGGACAGCCGACGUCAUAGCAAAGUAUGACGCGUGAGAAUAAACUGCAGCAGUGGGAGAGUAUUAGGAUCUGCUAAUAACCCUCUGAGGCUAUAGCACGCGAAUAUGCAGCUACAGUACGGAGUUUGCGAUCCCGAGGUACCCGAGCCGUAAGGGGGCUAGCAGGUCCCCACAGAUAUGAGAGUUAGAAGAUACUGCAAACAGUAUUAAAACAAUGUAAGAGUCAUGUCAGACAAAAUUAUGAUAAGAAGAAUGAAACUAUGCCUGUAUAGUUAAUUACUUGAAAUAAAUACAAGACGCGAGAUCUGCUAAUAGACUCAUCGAUAAAACCUCGCAGAUCAUUUCCAAUGAAACGAUCAAUCUCAAUAAAAAACCGAUCAGCCGAGGACGAAGAAAUUCGCAUUGUCCCGAAUACUCCCGAGAAAGGAGUCAUUAAACGAAACAGCUACCGCAAACGACGCCGUGUCCUAAUGACCAAAAUCAAACACGACACCCACAGACGUUUCCAGAAGCCUAAUCGAAACCUCGAACCAGAACGAAUCGCCCGAUGGUUUCCUGGCCACGACGAAGACACCGGGUAGCUGGAUUGCCCGUGGUCGAGAAAGGGAAACGCGAGGCACAGCGAUUCAUCCCCUGGAAGACAAUAAUUCAUCCUCAUUGAAAGGGUUUCAGAGGGCCCGCAUGUGUUGGCCAUCGGUCUAUCGAUUGUCCAAGCUUCACGGCGGUCCAAGUGCGCCCGUUCGACGAAGGACGAUACAUCAUAAUUUGCUGGCGAAAUGUUUACGAAUGCUGGGGAAACGCGUGGUUUUCGCACGUGACGAACUCCAGAUGCUCACGGUCCCUGGCUCCCAAAGGAAAAGGAGUGGCUGCGUACUGUCAUUAGCCGACGGACAUUGGCCACCCCGUGGCGAGCCACAAUGUGUCGCUGAACAGCCGAUACGUGUCUAGCCACUGGCUUAACUAAUGCUUAUAAACGGACGCGUCGAGUCAGUCCUGAGAGCUAGCGUUAAUUGACGCGGUGCGUUUCUCGUCUCCACCCCCGCGGUGAGGUCGUUUGGACCGAAGGAGUUUUUGGUUUGUGCUGAAGUCUAUAUUCAUUCAUGACGAGAAUAGGUAAAGACAAAUUUUUCUUAAUUAGGACCCUCUCUU